UUAAGUUAAUAAGGGCGCACGGUGGAUGCCUUGGCACUAGGAGCCGACGAAGGACGUGACAAACGACGAUAUGCCUUGGGUAGCUGUAAGUAAGCGAUGAUCCAGGGAUUUCCGAAUGGGGGAACCCAACAGGUAAUACCUGUUACCUACAUCUGUUAAGGAUGUGAGGAGGAAGACGCAGUGAACUGAAACAUCUAAGUAGCUGCAGGAAGAGAAAGCAAAAGCGAUUGCCUUAGUAGCGGCGAGCGAAACGGCAGAAGGGCAAACCGAAGAGUUUACUCUUCGGGGUUGUAGGACUGCAAUGUGGACUCAAAGAUUAUAGAAGAAUGAUUUGGGAAGAUCAGCCAAAGAGAGUAAUAGCCUCGUAUUUAAAAUAGUCUUUGUACUUAGCAGUAUCCUGAGUACGGCGGGACACGUGAAAUCCCGUCGGAAUCUGGGAGGACCAUCUCCCAACCCUAAAUACUCCCUAGUGACCGAUAGUGAACCAGUACCGUGAGGGAAAGGUGAAAAGCACCCCGGGAGGGGAGUGAAAUAGAACCUGAAACCGUGUGCCUACAACAAGUUCGAGCCCGUUAAUGGGUGAGAGCGUGCCUUUUGUAGAAUGAACCGGCGAGUUACGUUAUGAUGCGAGGUUAAGUUGAAGAGACGGAGCCGUAGGGAAACCGAGUCUGAAUAGGGCGCCUUAGUAUCAUGACGUAGACCCGAAACCAUGUGACCUACCCAUGAGCAGGUUGAAGGUGCGGUAAGACGCACUGGAGGACCGAACCAGGGCACGUUGAAAAGUGCUUGGAUGACUUGUGGGUAGCGGAGAAAUUCCAAACGAACUUGGAGAUAGCUGGUUCUCUCCGAAAUAGCUUUAGGGCUAGCGUCGACAUUAGAGAUUCUUGGAGGUAGAGCACUGUUUGGGUGAGGGGUCCAUCCCGGAUUACCAAUCUCAGAUAAACUCCGAAUGCCAAUGAAUUAUGGUCGGCAGUCAGACUGCGAGUGCUAAGAUCCGUAGUCGAAAGGGAAACAGCCCAGACCACCAGCUAAGGUCCCAAAAUAAUUGUUAAGUGGAAAAGGAUGUGGGGUUGCACAGACAACUAGGAUGUUAGCUUAGAAGCAGCUAUUCAUUCAAAGAGUGCGUAAUAGCUCACUAGUCGAGUGACCCUGCGCCGAAAAUGUACCGGGGCUAAAACAAUUUACCGAAGCUGUGGAUACCUUUAUAGGUAUGGUAGGAGAGCGUUCUAUGUGUGAUGAAGGUAUACCGUGAGGAGUGCUGGAACGCAUAGAAGUGAGAAUGCCGGUAUGAGUAGCGAAAGACAGGUGAGAAUCCUGUCCACCGUAAGACUAAGGUUUCCAGGGGAAGGCUCGUCCGCCCUGGGUUAGUCGGGACCUAAGGAGAGACCGAAAGGUGUAUCCGAUGGACAACAGGUUGAUAUUCCUGUACUAGAGUAUGUAGUGAUGGAGGGACGCAGUAGGCUAACUAAAGCAGACGAUUGGAAGAGUCUGUCUAAGCAGUGAGGUGUGAAUUGAGUCAAAUGCUUAAUUCUAUAACAUUGAGCUGUGAUGGGGAGCGAAGUUUAGUAGCGAAGUUAGUGACGUCACACUGCCAAGAAAAGCUUCUAGCGUUUAAACAUACUCUACCCGUACCGCAAACCGACACAGGUAGUCGAGGCGAGUAGCCUCAGGUGAGCGAGAGAACUCUCGUUAAGGAACUCGGCAAAAUGACCCCGUAACUUCGGGAGAAGGGGUGCUGACUUAAAGUCAGCCGCAGUGAAUAGACCCAAGCAACUGUUUAUCAAAAACACAGCUCUCUGCUAAAUCGUAAGAUGAUGUAUAGGGGGUGACGCCUGCCCGGUGCUGGAAGGUUAAGAGGAGUGCUUAGCGUAAGCGAAGGUAUGAAUUGAAGCCCCAGUAAACGGCGGCCGUAACUAUAACGGUCCUAAGGUAGCGAAAUUCCUUGUCGGGUAAGUUCCGACCCGCACGAAAGGCGUAAUGAUUUGGGCACUGUCUCAACGAGAGACUCGGUGAAAUUUUAGUACCUGUGAAGAUGCAGGUUACCCGCGACAGGACGGAAAGACCCCAUGGAGCUUUACUGCAGUUUGAUAUUGAGUGUCUGUACCACAUGUACAGGAUAGGUAGGAGUCUAAGAGAUCGGGACGCCAGUUUCGAAGGAGACGCUGUUGGGAUACUACCCUUGUGUUAUGGCCACUCUAACCCAGAUAGGUGAUCCCUAUCGGAGACAGUGUCUGACGGGCAGUUUGACUGGGGCGGUCGCCUCCUAAAAGGUAACGGAGGCGCCCAAAGGUUCCCUCAGAAUGGUUGGAAAUCAUUCGCAGAGUGUAAAGGUAUAAGGGAGCUUGACUGCGAGAGCUACAACUCGAGCAGGGACGAAAGUCGGGCUUAGUGAUCCGGUGGUUCCGUAUGGAAGGGCCAUCGCUCAACGGAUAAAAGCUACCCUGGGGAUAACAGGCUUAUCUCCCCCAAGAGUUCACAUCGACGGGGAGGUUUGGCACCUCGAUGUCGGCUCGUCGCAUCCUGGGGCUGUAGUCGGUCCCAAGGGUUGGGCUGUUCGCCCAUUAAAGCGGCACGCGAGCUGGGUUCAGAACGUCGUGAGACAGUUCGGUCCCUAUCCGUCGCGGGCGUAGGAAAUUUGAGAGGAUCUGCUCCUAGUACGAGAGGACCAGAGUGGACUUACCGCUGGUGUACCAGUUGUCUUGCCAAAGGCAUCGCUGGGUAGCUAUGUAGGGAAGGGAUAAACGCUGAAAGCAUCUAAGUGUGAAACCCACCUCAAGAUGAGAUUUCCCAUGAUUAUAUAUCAGUAAGAGCCCUGAGAGAUGAUCAGGUAGAUAGGUUAGAAGUGGAAGUGUGGCGACACAUGUAGCGGACUAAUACUAAUAGCUCGAGGACUUAUCCAA
This 2900-nucleotide ribosomal RNA is filed under the name Streptococcus pneumoniae. Its description in RNAcentral is "bacterial LSU rRNA". It matches the Rfam family "Bacterial large subunit ribosomal RNA". The record is from RNAcentral. Lineage: Bacteria; Bacillati; Bacillota; Bacilli; Lactobacillales; Streptococcaceae.